This 66-nucleotide transfer RNA is filed under the name Hestinalis nama. RNAcentral describes it as "tRNA-Arg". Lineage: Eukaryota; Metazoa; Arthropoda; Insecta; Lepidoptera; Nymphalidae. The record is from RNAcentral.
AAAUAAGAAGCAAUUUUGCAUUUAAUUUCGACUUAAAAAAUAGAAUAUAAUAUUAUUCCUUAUUUA